CGACAUAGAAGAAAAAGUGGGAGCGAAACCCUUUGGCACAAAAUUGGGUGGCAUUCCCCAAGGGAAUCCAGCAGGCAGAUUCGAAGCCAAGUGGGCGGUGGCAGCAGGCAUUAUAGAGGUAACUACUUCAGAAAUGACAGUCCUCACGGGAGGAGUUGCAGGAGUUGGAGAAGCUUGGCUCUGAGCAGCAAGAAUUGACUCCAUCAUGGCAGUCAUUCAGGCAAUCUCCUCUUUCAAAUA
RNAcentral lists this long non-coding RNA (240 nucleotides) under Lathyrus oleraceus (garden pea). RNAcentral describes it as "Pisum sativum (pea) long non-coding RNA (PSAT_LNC041850)". The record is from RNAcentral. Lineage: Eukaryota; Viridiplantae; Streptophyta; Magnoliopsida; Fabales; Fabaceae.